UUCAUAAACUAAAGCUUAAUCUUAGGCGUUGCUAAACAAAAUUGAAAAUAUGGAGAAAUUCAUUGUCAUUGUAGAUAUAUCCAACAGGUUCCAAGGUCAAUCCCCCACUUCAUGUGCAAAACAUGUUAAAGGACUAUCUUGCUUGUGUUGAAGAAAUCGAAGCAUCCUUGUCAACCAUAAUGCUUGUGUAGCACUACUUGUUGCAAUCAUAUACUCUGUUUCAGCAGUUCAUAAAGCAACAACUUGUUGUUUCUUUGAAGACCAUGAAAAUACACUAGAUCCCAAAUAAAAUGUAUAGCCAGAAGUACUUUUUCUUUGCAUCAUAUCACUAGCCCAAUCACUAUCAGUUAAUCCAACAAGAUUACUAUCAUUAGUAUUUGAAUAAAAUAUGUCAUCAGAGUGUGUACCUUAAAUAUAUCUCAAAAUUCUCUUGA
Molecule: long non-coding RNA, 434 nt
Organism: Solanum tuberosum (potato)
Lineage: Eukaryota; Viridiplantae; Streptophyta; Magnoliopsida; Solanales; Solanaceae
Exons: 2
Source: RefSeq, a predicted model, not a curated record